AAGACUAUAGACCUGCGGAGUACCUGCGGAAGGAUCAUUACCGAGUUUACAACUCCCAAACCCAUGUGAACAUACCUAUCGUUGCUUCGGCGGGAUCGCCCCGGGCGCCUUGUGUGCCCCGGAUCCAGGCACCCGCCGGGGGACCUUAACUCUUGUUUUAUUUAGAAUCUUCUGAGUAGUUUUUACAAAUAAAUAAAAACUUUCAACAACGGAUCUCU
This 218-nucleotide unclassified non-coding RNA is filed under the name soil metagenome. Its description in RNAcentral is "partial contains 5.8S ribosomal RNA, internal transcribed spacer 2, and large subunit ribosomal RNA". The record is from RNAcentral.